RNAcentral lists this ribosomal RNA (255 nucleotides) under uncultured bacterium. Its description in RNAcentral is "partial 16S ribosomal RNA". It matches the Rfam family "Bacterial small subunit ribosomal RNA", at positions 524 to 776 of the family's 1533-position model. The record is from RNAcentral.
UACGGAGGGGGCUAGCGUUGUUCGGAAUUACUGGGCGUAAAGCGCGCGUAGGCGGCUUUGUAAGUUAGAGGUGAAAGCCCGGAGCUCAAACUUCGGAAUUGCCUUUAAGACUGCAUCGCUUGAAUCAUGGAGAGGUCAGUGGAAUUCCGAGUGUAGAGGUGAAAUUCGUAGAUAUUCGGAAGAACACCAGUGGCGAAGGCGACUGACUGGACAUGUAUUGACGCUGAGGUGGCGAAAGCGUGGGGAGCAAACAGG